GACAAGAAUUUAUUAUUAUUCUUGACACCCAAGUAUUUAACAUCUACAACAACAACAACAACAAAAAAUAACAUGAAACAACAGACGACGAAAACGAAACGUUUUGAAUCCUAAUCGUAUAUUGUCUCCAUUCUCAUAAAUAAAGCCAUAAAUCUAACCAGACAAAUCCUGUUGAUGAUGAUAUCGUCAUGUUUUAACGACAGAAACAGACACAGACAACGAUGAAGAUCAACCAGUAAACAACGACAACAAGAAAGAUUUACAUUUGCCAAGAAUUUGAAUUUUUUGUGAUUGUCAAUCUUGAUAAUUUUCUCUUUCUUUCUCUUAUUUUUGAUGUAAUGGAAAUACAAGCAUUCUGAAACGUUCAUUGACUUUGUUGUUGUUGUUGUUGUUGUUGUGUGGUUGUUUUUCUUUUUGAUAAUCUUGAUACAUGAACAUCAGAUAUCAAUGGAAAUGGCUUCGUUCAAAAAAAAAAUUCUUGAUUGUCACCAUCAUCGUCGUCGUCGUAGUUGAAAUCGUCGUUGCUGAUUCUUUCAAGAAUUCUCAUCGUUGACAUUCUUCUUCUUCUUCUGUUUAUGUUGCUGAAUUGCAAGUACGAAAAAAAUCCAAAAAUAUCGAAAAUCUGAUGAAAUCGAUGAUGAUGAUGAUUAAAGAAGAUUCUUGAAUACGAAUCUUGCAACAAAAAACGGCAUUAAUUCCUGAAUUCAUUGGGAUUCAUCUGUUGUUGUUCAUUCAUGGUCAAUUCAUGAAGAUCAUAUUGAAAACGAACCAAAACCAAAAAAAAAAUCAUCUGAAUCUUAACCUGAACAAAAACAACGAUGAAUGAAUGGAAAUAAAAAUUUAGGCCAAAUUGGAAUUCUUGGAAAUGAAAUAAAUAAAAAAAUUUGGAACACCGACACAC
Long non-coding RNA from Dermatophagoides farinae (American house dust mite), 901 nucleotides. RefSeq lists it as uncharacterized. The record is from RefSeq and is a predicted model, not a curated record. Lineage: Eukaryota; Metazoa; Arthropoda; Arachnida; Sarcoptiformes; Pyroglyphidae.